GUCGUAACAAGGUCUCCGUAGGUGAACCUGCGGAGGGAUCAUUACACAAAUAUGAAGGCGGGCUGGAACCUCUCGGGGUUACAGCCUUGCUGAAUUAUUCACCCUUGUCUUUUGCGUACUUCUUGUUUCCUUGGUGGGUUCGCCCACCACUAGGACAAACAUAAACCUUUUGUAAUUGCAAUCAGCGUCAGUAACAAAUUAAUAAUUACAACUUCCAACAACGGAUCUCUUGGUUCUGGCAUCGAUGAAGAACGCAGCGAAAUGCGAUAAGUAGUGUGAAUUGCAGAAUUCAGUGGAUCAUCGAAUCUUUGAACGCACAUUGCGCCCUUUGGUAUUCCAAAGGGCAUGCCUGUUCGAGCGUCAUUUGUACCCUCAAGCUUUGCUUGGUGUUGGGCGUCUUGUCUCUAGCUUUGCUGGAGACUCGCCUUAAAGUAAUUGGCAGCCGGCCUACUGGUUUCGGAGCGCAGCACAAGUCGCACUCUCUAUCAGCAAAGGUCUAGCAUCCAUUAAGCCUUUUUUUCAACUUUUGACCUCGGAUCAGGUAGGGAUACCCGCUGAACUUAAGCAUAUCA
This 572-nucleotide ribosomal RNA is filed under the name uncultured fungus. RNAcentral describes it as "eukaryotic LSU rRNA". The stretch from base 210 to 363 matches the Rfam family "5.8S ribosomal RNA". The record is from RNAcentral. Lineage: Eukaryota; Fungi.